CUCUAGGAGGUUUUAAGAAGAGGCAUGUGUCUGUUUUCCAAUUCUGUAAAUUGGUUUGGUUAUUGAAGGACAUGUUACCAUGUCUGAUCAUAAAUUUAGUUAUUUUUAUGAUUCAUGUGAAAAAUUAUAAUCUAUUACGUAAAUUUCGUUCGUCAUAUUUUGUAUAGAUUGUCUUAAAUCUGGGGCAACCAUCACUGUUGAUCUUUGACAAGUAAUUUAGUUCCAAGACUCUUACUACACUGGAGGAGAUUCGGCUACCAUAGAAUUAUGUGAUUUUCUUGUGUGGCAUAGGACAAGUGAUAACUGGUAGCUGCGACAAAACCUUGAAAUGUUGGAAUUCUAGAGGUGCAACUGUGCAAGUGGACAACAUGCUUUCGUUGGAGCUUAUACACAACCAGUGUGUUUUUACUUUCCCUUGUUGGGAACCAUUUAGUAGUAGCAAAUGUUGAUGGUUUCAUUAUUUUAUGGUACUACAAAUAGUUUUGUGGUGGUUUGCAUGCCAUGGCUUAAACUUUAAUUAAAGCAGUAGAAGAACUUGAGAAUUUGUUAAA
Molecule: long non-coding RNA, 551 nt
Organism: Lycium barbarum (goji berry)
Lineage: Eukaryota; Viridiplantae; Streptophyta; Magnoliopsida; Solanales; Solanaceae
Exons: 2
Source: RefSeq, a predicted model, not a curated record